UACGUAGGUGGCGAGCGUUGUCCGGAUUUACUGGGCGUAAAGCGCGCGCAGGCGGCAGUCUAAGUCCUCUGUGAAAUCACCCGGCUUAACUGGGUGGCUGCGGAGGAGACUGGGCAGCUUGAGGGGCCUAGAGGCCGGUGGAACUCCCGGUGUAGUGGUGAAAUGCGUAGAGAUCGGGAAGAACACCAGUGGCGAAGGCGGCCGGCUGGGGGCGCCCUGACGCUGAGGCGCGAGAGCGUGGGGAGCAAACCGG
RNAcentral lists this ribosomal RNA (253 nucleotides) under uncultured bacterium. RNAcentral's name for it is "partial 16S ribosomal RNA". It matches the Rfam family "Bacterial small subunit ribosomal RNA", at positions 524 to 776 of the family's 1533-position model. The record is from RNAcentral.